RNAcentral lists this transfer RNA (91 nucleotides) under Endomicrobium sp. RNAcentral describes it as "tRNA-Ser". It matches the Rfam family "tRNA". Rfam says of the family: Transfer RNA (tRNA) molecules are approximately 80 nucleotides in length. Their secondary structure includes four short double-helical elements and three loops (D, anti-codon, and T loops). The record is from RNAcentral. Lineage: Bacteria; Pseudomonadati; Elusimicrobiota; Endomicrobiia; Endomicrobiales; Endomicrobiaceae.
GGAGAGAUGGCCGAGUUUGGAUUAAGGCGUCAGUUUCGAAAACUGAUAUAUAGAGCGAUCUAUAUCGAGGGUUCGAAUCCCUCUCUCUCCG